Molecule: long non-coding RNA, 241 nt
Organism: Argentina anserina (silverweed cinquefoil)
Lineage: Eukaryota; Viridiplantae; Streptophyta; Magnoliopsida; Rosales; Rosaceae
Exons: 3
Source: RefSeq, a predicted model, not a curated record
GGAUACAUUAAUGACUUCAAAGCUAGAAGUGUUUUACAACCUGAACCCAACUGUUGGACCCCAUCCAAUGAACAAUGAAAUUUUAUGCUGUUGGUUUAAAGCUUAGAGAUAUGCCUCAACAUCUAUCCUUUACAUGUUUUGUGGUUAAAUAACAGUAUCAAGCUUUAUCUGUUUUUAAACAACAAUUUUCGUUUUCAUUUAUUAGUUAACCUAUUCUACCCUGAUAAUAUAAAUGACUGAU